UCCCCCUCUCUGCGUGUCUCCCCCAUGGAGCAAAUAUAUCAUGAGAAUAACUGCCUUCCUUUGUCUGGAUUCAUCAGCUGUCAUCCCUGAACUGCUGACUCCUGGCCACCAAAGGAUUAUGAAGCUUUUAUUCUCAAAGGAGAAACACUGGCUAAGGAGACUGAAAACUCUUCCAAGAGAUCCUUUUCUCAUUAAUGGACUGACCUGGUAGACAACUGAGAGUGAUCUUUUACUCCAUUUCCAAGAGUGACUCACCCACUGCAAACCAUUUGAUAGCUCUUCUUCAGACCGUUUGGAGAUACUCUUCUGAGCCUUCACAGUAAGAAUAGCUGUUUUCAUGCCAGACCAAUUUUUCCUGCCAAAUUUAUGAGAUUGUUGAAUAGAGCUUUAUAAUGGGAGCUGGCUGCAACCUUAAGUACAGGGCGGCUAAUAUCUCCAUAUAAUAAUAGAGGAGUGUAUUCUGUUUGUGUAAUUCAAAUAAUAAUGUUGAAAUUGAGGAGAGACAGGAACUAUUUCCAUAUCAUUAAACAAAAUUGAAAGGAGUAAAAUGUUCUGAAAAGAGAAGAGGAAAAUGAUAGCUAUUUUUUAUUUACUCCCUCUGUUCUCUACUUACACUUUCUCCCUUUUUUUUCUCCCUUCUCAUUUCUUUUGCCACCAACUUCCAUAUUUUUAAUUAGUAGGUAGUGGCAUGGGUUUCAGAGAUAGCAUUAAAAGGAAGUUGUCAAGCUAGGUUUUAUGCUGCAUGAACUGAGAAACUGCAGGUGCUGUGUUUGCCAAAAAUGGUCCCAGGUGAAAGUUAUUACUGCAAAGGGCAGGUUUGUCUCAAGAUUACCUUAUUCAGAAACAUAAUUUCUUUCAUAUCAAAGACGCACAAAAGCAUUUCCCAUCUCCUAAGCCACUAAGCAUGAGAGUUGGGACACAAUGUAAAACUGCUUGUGCUGAUCCCUAUGUUUUUAUUUUAAGGCAGAACUCUUUCUCAUCCUGAUAGAGUUCAGGCUAUAUUGUUCCUAAAGCUGGUAA
Molecule: long non-coding RNA, 1020 nt
Filed under: Anas platyrhynchos platyrhynchos (common mallard)
Lineage: Eukaryota; Metazoa; Chordata; Aves; Anseriformes; Anatidae
Description: lncRNA (ENSAPLG00000028607.1)
Source: RNAcentral